CUGGCGGCGUGCUUAACACAUGCAAGUCGAACGCGAAAGGGACUUCGGGUCCUGAGUAAAGUGGCGCACGGGUGAGUAACGCGUAGAUAACCUGUCUUCAUGUCUGGAAUAAUACGCCGAAAGGGGUACUAAUACCGGAUAUUCUUGCUUUUCAUAAGUUAUGCAAGCAAAGGUGGCCUCUGCAUAUGCUACUGCAUGAAGAGGGGUCUGCGUACCAUUAGCUAGUAGGUGGGGUAAUGGCCUACCUAGGCGACGAUGGUUAGCGGGUCUGAGAGGAUGAUCCGCCACACUGGCACUGGAACACGGGCCAGACUCCUACGGGAGGCAGCAGUGAGGAAUAUUGCGCAAUGGGGGAAACCCUGACGCAGCGACGCCGCGUGAGUGAGGAAGGCCUUCGGGUCGUAAAGCUCUGUCAAGAGGAAAGAAGUGUACAAUGGCUAAUACCUGUUGUAUUUGACGGUACCUCUAAAGGAAGCACCGGCUAACUCCGUGCCAGCCGCGGC
Molecule: ribosomal RNA, 503 nt
Filed under: uncultured bacterium
Lineage: Bacteria
Description: bacterial SSU rRNA
Rfam family: Bacterial small subunit ribosomal RNA
Source: RNAcentral